This 93-nucleotide transfer RNA is filed under the name Ceratocystis platani. Its description in RNAcentral is "tRNA-Ser". It matches the Rfam family "tRNA". From Rfam's summary of the family: Transfer RNA (tRNA) molecules are approximately 80 nucleotides in length. Their secondary structure includes four short double-helical elements and three loops (D, anti-codon, and T loops). The record is from RNAcentral. Lineage: Eukaryota; Fungi; Ascomycota; Sordariomycetes; Microascales; Ceratocystidaceae.
AGGCCCAUUAGUUUAGUGGUUAUGACGUUGGAUUUUGAUUACUCACGAUCAAGGUCUUCCAAAGACGCCAGUUCGAAUCUGGCAUGGGCCUAC